GAAUCUUUUUUUUUGUCAUUGACUACUAAACCCAAACCAAAUUUAAAAAAAAAAAAAAACCCUAAGCUAGAAACCCUAAAACUAAAAGUGAUUUUGGAUCUGGAAAGGCGAAGCUGAGGGUGAACCAUGAGGGGCGAUACUAGUGAUUCCUCCAGUUACUUUGAUGGGCGAGAGCCAGAUGAACUGAUCAGGGCCCUCGUCCAGAAUUGGCCGGGUACCGAUGGUAAAAUGACGGUCGGUUUGCACUUUUUGGAUCUGGAAAGCAAUAAAGUCUUUAUUAAGGCGAUGCCACCUGAUGCUCCUUUUUGUUCCACUGCCGUUGCCUGUGGCGACCACGUUUACGUUAUUGGGGGAAUACGCCAAAAUGAUGCUACUCUUUUUGAUUAUGAUGGUGUAAACGAUGUUUUCCAAUUAGAUUUGAAGGACCUUGAACGUGGGUGGAGAAAAACUACUUCUAUGUUGUUCCCUCGGUUUUUGCCCCGGGUUGUUGCUGCUGAAGGAAAGAUUUUCGUCUUCGAAUAUAUGGGUUCUGAAUCUUUUGGCGAGGUUUACGAUAUAAGUGGGGAUAUUUGGGAACCAUUGUCGCCCCCUCCGGAAGAUAUCGAUCUAUGUGUUCCUGUUCUAGAUUCUUCCCGAUCUCGGAUUUUGGUGCACUGCAAUGCCAACGAUACCCUUUACGCUUAUUACUACGAUCGUAAAUCAUAGGUUUGCCUCGAACAAAAAUUUUGUUACUGGUCUGACGCAGCGACAAUCGUGGACGAUGUGCUGUAUACUGCCAUUUAUAAUUAUUCUGAUAAGUUCCGUUCUUUGGAGGCGUAUAAUUUGCUUGAUAAGAAACAUUUGCCCGUCAAAUGGUCAUCAGAAUUUUCAGUGGAUCCACAUGGCACUCUGUAUCGUUUGGGCAAUGGCAAGUGUAUUUUCGUUUGGUUCAACCAUCUCGAUAAGAGUUUUGAGUACAUAAGAUUUAAUAUUUGGUGCAACGAGCAGGGAGGGAUUCAUGCAGCUGCAGAGCAUCAAUCUGCCAUCAGUGUUCCAUAUCCCAAAGAUAUUUCUGAUAUAAAGUUGUUCUGAAUGAAGUAACUUUCAACACAAGAAAUUCUUUGGAGAUCAGCAUCCAUUGAUUUUCUUUUUACCUCGUUGGCCCAUUUUUUCCAUUGUCUAUUACUUGGAGGGAGCUUCAAGAAGAACUAGGGGUGAUCCUCCCAAAGGAUGCAUUUGAGUUGAUAUUUGUUUUUCUUGAAGAGUGCGAUGUAUACCUAGUAACAACUCUAGAGCCAAUUCCUCGAGAAGCCUUCACACUUCAGGUAUAAAUCGGGAAGAAAGCGAGACAAGUUUGAAUCGUGGCGCAUUUCGUGGUUUCAAUAGUACUUCAGUUUAGCAAAUUCAGGUAUAGAUUGGGAAGAAAGCGAGGCAAGUUUGAAUCGUGACGCGUUUCGUGUUGUCAAUAUUGAUUCAGUUUAGCAAA
Gossypium raimondii (Peruvian cotton) is the source of this 1465-nucleotide RNA transcript. It is a transcript of the gene named putative F-box/kelch-repeat protein At3g46050, with no coding region annotated. The transcript is spliced from 6 exons. The record is from RefSeq and is a predicted model, not a curated record. NCBI's taxonomy places the organism in Eukaryota, Viridiplantae, Streptophyta, Magnoliopsida, Malvales, Malvaceae.